Molecule: long non-coding RNA, 988 nt
Organism: Myotis daubentonii (Daubenton's bat)
Lineage: Eukaryota; Metazoa; Chordata; Mammalia; Chiroptera; Vespertilionidae
Exons: 3
Source: RefSeq, a predicted model, not a curated record
UGCUGGCCCCUUGCAGUCAUGGGAGCUGGUGCGGGCUUUUGGGUCUGCACGGAUGCCUCAGUCUGUCCGCCCGCCCUUGCCUGCCUCUGCCCUCGGGAGUCACAUCCGCGCAGGUCCAAUCAGAACCGCGCCCUGACGCUCCCGGCUCCCUGGGUCUGGGCUUGAGCAGAGAAGAGAAAGAGGAAAGAGAAAACCGAGCCUUGGAGAAAUGAAGUCAUCUGGCCGAUAGGUGUCAGCGAUUCAAACUCAGACCCUGGGAAACUGGACGACGUGUUCCCAGAAGGAGAACAGGCCCUGGAGAUAAGGCAGCCCAAAGCCCAGGUCAAGGACAGAAGCUAUCUGAAGGGAGACGGUGUUCCCGGCUAAUCUUUGCAGCUCUCUGGGGCUGAUCUUUGCAAAGACGAUGAAAGGAGGCAGACCCCGGGGAACUCACUAACUUUAGAUUUUUAUAUAAGAGCUUGUUUAAAAUGAAAUGUCAGAGCAGAACUUCCACACUGGCUGACUGCUCUCCAUAUGCUGCUGGCCUUACUGGGAUAAAUGCUCAGACAUGAUUUAACCCUGCUUCUGCUUAAUUUGACUCACGGAGCGACAGGCAGCUUCACACCUGUUGUGUCCGGUAUCAAAAUAGUCCCGGGUACUAUUUUUUAUUUUUAUAUUGUGGUAAACUACAUAUAGCAUAUAACAUCAUUUUAGCCAUUUAAAGUGUAUAAUUCAGUUACAUUUAGCACAUUCACAAUGUUGUGUGAAUAUCUAGCUGCAUAACACUUAUCUACCCUUAAAAGGAGACUCGUCCUGGUGGGUGGUGGCUCGGUUGGUUGGAGCGUCAUCCCGUGCACCGGGUUUGAUUCCUGGUCAGAGAACAGGGUUCAAUUGGUUUGAACCCCAAUUGGGAGGCAACCAAUUGAUGUUUCUCUCUCACAUCAAUGUUCCUCUCUCUCUUUCUUUCCUUCUCCCUCUCUUUCUAAAAUCAGGUUUUUAAAAAGCAUAU